CUACGGGUCGCUGCAGUGAGGAAUUUUGCGCAAUGGGGGCAACCCUGACGCAGCAACGCCGCGUGAGUGAAGAAGGCCUUUGGGUCGUAAAGCUCUGUCAACAGGGAAGAAGUUACUUCAUAUUAAUAGUAUGUAGUAUUGACGGUACCUGUGGAGGAAGCAUCGGCUAACUCCGUGCCAGCAGCCGCGGUAAUACGGGGGAUGCAAGCGUUAUUCGGAAUCAUUGGGCGUAAAGGGCACGCAGGCGGCUCUGUCAGUCAGGUGUGAAAGCCCGGGGCUCAACCCCGGACGUGCAUUUGAAACAGCAGAGCUUGAGUACGGUAGAGGAAAGCGGAAUUCCUGGUGUAGAGGUGAAAUUCGUAGAUAUCAGGAGGAACACCGGUGGCGAAGGCGGCUUUCUGGACCGAAACUGACGCUGAGGUGCGAAGGCGUGGGUAGCGAACAGGAUUAGAUACCCCCGUAGUC
RNAcentral lists this ribosomal RNA (465 nucleotides) under uncultured bacterium. RNAcentral's name for it is "partial 16S ribosomal RNA". It matches the Rfam family "Bacterial small subunit ribosomal RNA", at positions 339 to 795 of the family's 1533-position model. The record is from RNAcentral.